RNAcentral lists this ribosomal RNA (686 nucleotides) under Chrysophyceae sp. Its description in RNAcentral is "eukaryotic LSU rRNA". It matches the Rfam family "Eukaryotic large subunit ribosomal RNA", at positions 113 to 887 of the family's 3401-position model. The record is from RNAcentral. Lineage: Eukaryota; Chrysophyceae. RNAcentral also lists the same sequence under 1 other name.
ACUGAAAAUCUUCGGAAUUGUAGUCUGGAGAAGUAUAGUCAGCCUGUAGUUGCGGGUAAAGUCUUCUGGAAAGGAGCGCCACGGAGGGUGAUAGCCCCGUUCGUACCUGCGAUGAAGGUAUACGACCUACUUUCAACGAGUCGAGUUGUUUGGGACUGCAGCUCUAAGUGGGUGGUAAAUUCCAUCUAAAGCUAAAUAUUGGUGGGAGACCGAUAGCGAACAAGUACCGUGAGGGAAAGAUGCAAAGAACUUUGAAAAGAGAGUUAAAUAGUACCUGAAAUUGCUGAAAUGGAACCGAUGGGAAGCAGUGUUGGUGAUUGUAUUUAUACAGUUACAAGCCAGGCUUGUUUCGUGGUGCGGGAAAGGCCAGUGAACCUGUAUGGGUCAUUAGUGCCAUCGUGCUGCGGAAUGACUCUGACGAAAUGCUUCUUAUCAUCCCGUCUUGAAACACGGACCAAGGAGUCUAACAUGUGUGCGAGUGUUCGGGGUCUAUCCCCCAGCGCGAAAUUAACGUAAAGGUGAAUUUAUUCACUUAGGUAGGAUCCUUAGGUGCACUAUCGACCGACCAUGAUCCUCCGGGAGAAAGGUUUGAGUGUGAGCAUACAUGUUGGGACCCGAAAGAUGGUGAACUAUGCUUGAGUAGGGCGAAGCCAGGGGAAACUCUGGUGGAGGUCCGCAGCGAUUCU